Molecule: ribosomal RNA, 397 nt
Filed under: uncultured bacterium
Lineage: Bacteria
Description: partial 16S ribosomal RNA
Rfam family: Bacterial small subunit ribosomal RNA
Source: RNAcentral
AUACGUAGGUGGCAAGCGUUGUCCGGAAUUAUUGGGCGUAAAGCGCGCGCAGGUGGUUCCUUAAGUCUGAUGUGAAAGCCCCCGGCUCAACCGGGGAGGGUCAUUGGAAACUGGGGAACUUGAGUGCAGAAGAGGAUAGUGGAAUUCCAAGUGUAGCGGUGAAAUGCGUAGAGAUUUGGAGGAACACCAGUGGCGAAGGCGACUGUCUGGUCUGUAACUGACACUGAGGCGCGAAAGCGUGGGGAGCAAACAGGAUUAGAUACCCUGGUAGUCCACGCCGUAAAGGAUGAGUGCUAAGUGUUGGGGGGUUUCCGCCCCUCAGUGCUGCAGCUAACGCAUUAAGCACUCCGCCUGGGGAGUACGGUCGCAAGACUGAAACUCAAAUGAAUUGACGGGG